Humulus lupulus (European hop) is the source of this 1840-nucleotide long non-coding RNA. RefSeq lists it as uncharacterized. The record is from RefSeq and is a predicted model, not a curated record. NCBI's taxonomy places the organism in Eukaryota, Viridiplantae, Streptophyta, Magnoliopsida, Rosales, Cannabaceae. The transcript is spliced from 12 exons.
UGCGGUGUGGUUUGAACCGCAUUUAUAAAAUUUAAACCCACAAACCGCACUGCACCACGCGGUUUGACAAAAAUACAAACCGCACCGCGAAGGGUUCUAAACCGCAAAUUGCGGUGUGGUGUGGUGCAGUGUGGACGGUUUGUGCGGUGUGGGCGGUUUUAUGAAUACCCCUAUCUCCAAUUAUGAGAUGCAGAUUAAUAGGGCCCUUAUGGAAUACCUCAGUUGGGUUUGAGUUUUGAGACACCUCAAAUGGGACAAAAGUAAAUAAACUGUUCAUUCAUGUGAAAUAACUUGGUAUACCCAGUUUUAUAACCGGUUAACAUAUUAUUUCGUGUUAGAGAGUUUGCAUCCAUUGUGUCAAAUGAGUUUACUGUUGGUGUUGCAUGUAUUCAGACAGCUCGACCUCAACAAAGCUGGGUCUCUGUAAAAUGGUGUUGUCAUGGUUUUGAUUUUAUGGCUUGAGGUGGGUUGCUCAUUAUUUUGUGAUUCGCUCAAGUCCUUCCAUUUAUUAGAGAGCAAUGUAAGCUAAAGUCAUUGGUUAUAUCCUUGAUUCCAGUUGAGAAGUAAACAGAGGAAAAAAUGCCAACAAUAUGUACCUUGGAAAAUCAAGAUGAUUGUGGCAGACAAAUCUCUAAAGCGAACAAGUCGUAACUCAGCAGUCAAAUACCAAAAUCUAAUAUUAAUCGACCAACAGGGGAAUCGAGUCCAAUCAAUAAUUUAUGGAACAGAUAUUGACUCUAGGGAGGACACUUUAAAAUUGUUUCACUCUUAUUGUAUCAGUGACGCCCUUGUCAAAAAUGCCAACCCAAGAUUUCUUAACUGUUGCAAUCCAGAUUGAAUCAACAAAAUAGAUAACCACAAAAUUUCAACAACAAACAAUCCAUAAGAUAUAUCUUAUCGAUGAAAGCUUCAACCCAAUUAAAUUGAUUAUGUGGGGUCGGUUUGUCCAAGACGAAUGCCAAACAAUAAAAAAAAAUUAUUGAAGAAUACCCAAUAAUAUUGGGAAUACAAAUAGUUGUUCGAACAUAUAGAGGAUUGUCCUGUCAUCACGUUCAUCAAGUACCUUCACAAUCAAUCCUCAAAUUCCAAAGGCAACUGCAUUAAAGCAAUGGGCGAAUAAUAAUACACUGAAAAUCAAAAGUAUCAUUGAAACAUCAUUGACACAUCCAUCUACUACUCUAUCAUCUAUUGGACUUAAAGAAACCAUGAAGAUUUGUGAUAUUCCCUGUGUGAUGAAGGCUUUGCAAUCUAUGGAGAAAGAAUACUUUUGGAUAGAAGCAAAGAUAAAUAUAAUUGAUUAUGCCCAAAUGUACUAUUACAUGUCGUGUGCAACAUGCCAUAGAAAAAUAUGACAUAAGUAUGAAGAAAUAAUUGUUUGCGAAAAUCCAAACGGCAAACAGCAAGACACCUCCACACCACAUGCUAGGGCAUAUGUGCAACUAGAAGAUGAUACUGGAAAGCUCGAUGCUGUUCUGUUCGGAGAAGUAGUAGAAUAGACAUUUGGUAGUUCUGCAGUCCAGUUGAUGGAAAAUUCUACAAAGGAAAUUCCUCAACACAUUGAAAGUGUUGCGAAUAAAUUAGCAACAAAAAAAUGGACAAUCAAAUUGUCUGCAGAUGAAGAAAAAAUGAAGAAUGUCAAAUACAAGCAUUUCACUAUUCUCUCCAUUGAAGCCGCACAAGAUGACAACAAGGAUGAAUCAUCAUCCUAAAUUACAAACACAAAUUAACACCUUUCUUCAUUUAUUUAUUUAUUCAAACAAAAUCACAUUCUUUAUUCUUUAUUAAACUAUAGACAAUUUUAUUUCUAUUUUUUUAUUUACAAAGGUCUACCAUUUAAAAC